Molecule: unclassified non-coding RNA, 308 nt
Filed under: uncultured fungus
Lineage: Eukaryota; Fungi
Description: partial contains small subunit ribosomal RNA, internal transcribed spacer 1, and 5.8S ribosomal RNA
Rfam family: Eukaryotic small subunit ribosomal RNA (bases 1-73)
Source: RNAcentral
GCAAACUUGGUCAUUUAGAGGAAGUAAAAGUCGUAACAAGGUUUCCGUAGGUGAACCUGCGGAAGGAUCAUUACCGAGUGCGGGUCCUUUGGGCCCAACCUCCCAUCCGUGUCUAUUGUACCCUGUUGCUUCGGCGGGCCCGCCGCUUGUCGGCCGCCGGGGGGGCGCCUCUGCCCCCCGGGCCCGUGCCCGCCGGAGACCCCAACACGAACACUGUCUGAAAGCGUGCAGUCUGAGUUGAUUGAAUGCAAUCAGUUAAAACUUUCAACAAUGGAUCUCUUGGUUCCGGCAUCGAUGAAGAACGCAGC